Molecule: long non-coding RNA, 651 nt
Organism: Ictalurus punctatus (channel catfish)
Lineage: Eukaryota; Metazoa; Chordata; Actinopteri; Siluriformes; Ictaluridae
Source: Ensembl
CAAAUGUUUAAAAGUUAUAGAAGAACAAAUUAAUCUCUGGGGAGCAUUUUAAAGAAUAAUUUAUUGUAAUUGUUUCUGUUUUUAAAACUUCAAAUUUGACCAUUUGUGGUUAUGUGUUUGUUUAAAAGGUGUGUGCAGAAUGCACAGAGGAUUAUUGUGUCGGCUGCUUUGCCAAAUUCCACCAGAAGGGGGCACUAAGGGUCCAUCAUAUUAUUCCCAUGCAGGCUGAGCUCCAUACCUCCAUCAGCACAAUUGAUGUGGUGAAUCGUUUUCAGAUGAAGAUUGAAGGUGGAGAAGACGAAGACAGUGGUGAUGGAGGAACAAAUCCAGAAUGCAGAGCAAUCUCUACAAUUUUCCAGCCUGUUUCUGAUAACCAGAUGCAUGGCAUACGAGUGCUGCUUGUGAAUGAUGCAGAUGAGGAGAAUGAAGACUCCUUUCUGAGAGGCAAUUUUGAUGAAGAGGAAUCUUCCAGAAGUUUUCAGAAGGCUCUGAAUGAGUGGAGAGCAGGAAACACACAUGGCAACAGAGAACAUCAUGAACCCAACCACAAUGUACAAACUGCUCGACCAGGUAACUAACACACACACACGCACACACACACAAAAUGUAGGUAGUCCCUAAUUGUGCUUAAAGAUCACUUGGUAAAUAAGU